UCUAUAACUCGGUGGAAUAUGAGGUAUCUCCGAUCCCCACAAGCUUUAAUUCUUUGAAUCGAUUAUAAGAUUAAUCUUUGGUCUAGGGCUUAAUGAUACUUAAAGUGUAUUUUGCCAGGUCGAACUCAGGUCUUCUCCCACAAACUCAUCGUGUGUUGCAUAUUGAACUACACCCAUUGGAUUCAAUCCAAGUGGGAAAUUGAACGUCAUACAUUUUAUAUUUUAAUUAAAGGAUCCCAAACGACAAACCAUAGUUCUCAAAUGUACAGCAUCACAAUAAGAGUGUGGAAGGAGUGGGAUCGUUAAACAGAGUCUAAUGAAGUAGUGAAAGUGAAGAUACUAUAUCAUAAUGAUCAUGAAAAAAAUGCCAUAAAUUAGCUGAAACUAUAUUAAACCAGGAAAAAAGAUUGUGAUGCACCAUCAGCUAAACCUCGAGGCUACUUUUUCUUUUGGGUACAUAAAACAGACAACCUACUUUACAUUCGAAUAAUUGAUGCCGAGUGGUGUGAGAAUCAAAAUACAUAGGCACUGGCUUCCCGUGACAGUUCUAAU
This 552-nucleotide long non-coding RNA is filed under the name Glycine max (soybean). RNAcentral's name for it is "long non-coding RNA (GMAX_LNC003705)". The record is from RNAcentral. Lineage: Eukaryota; Viridiplantae; Streptophyta; Magnoliopsida; Fabales; Fabaceae.